This is a non-coding RNA of Ceratotherium simum simum (southern white rhinoceros), 132 nucleotides long. Lineage: Eukaryota; Metazoa; Chordata; Mammalia; Perissodactyla; Rhinocerotidae. The record is from RefSeq and is a predicted model, not a curated record.
GUGCUCUUCAAAAGUUGAAUUUUAUCAUUGACAACAAACACUGUAGUUGUUUUCCUUGAAGUGACAGGCCCACUUGACUCAUUUUCAAGAUGUCUGUUAAGUACCCAAGUCUGAAGAAGCAUAGUUUGCCUG